GAUGAACGCUGGCGGCGUGCCUAACACAUGCAAGUCGAGCGAAGCAUUUUAAAGGAAGUUUUCGGAUGGAAUUUGAAAUGACUGAGCGGGCGACGGGUGAAGGUACGCGUGGUAACCUGCCUCAUACAGGGGGAUAACAGUUAGAAAUGACUGCUAAUACCGCAUAAGCACACAGUACCGCAUGGUACAGAGUGAAAAACUCCGGUGGUAUGAGAUGGACCCGCGUCUGAUUAGCUGGUUGGCGGGGUAACGGCCCACCAAGGCGACGAUCAGUAGCCGACCUGAGAGGGUGACCGGCCACAUUGGGACUGAGACACGGCCCAA
This 324-nucleotide ribosomal RNA is filed under the name uncultured bacterium. RNAcentral's name for it is "bacterial SSU rRNA". It matches the Rfam family "Bacterial small subunit ribosomal RNA", at positions 28 to 334 of the family's 1533-position model. The record is from RNAcentral.